GACGAACGCUGGCGGCGUGCUUAACACAUGCAAGUCGAACGGAAAGGCCCAGCUUUCGUGGGGUGUUCGUGUGGAGAACGGGUGUGUAACAUGUGUGUAACCUGCCUUUCUCUUUGGGAUAACCUCAGGAAUCUGGGGCUAAUACCGGAUAGGCGCCUCUGCCGCAUGGUGGGGGUUGGAAAUUUUUCGCGGUUGGGGAUGGACUCGCGGCUUAUCAGCUUGUUGGUGGGGUAGUGGCUCACCAAGGCCUUGACGGGUAGCCGGCCUGAGAGGGUGACCGGCCACAUUGGGACUGAGAUACGGCCCAGACUCCUACGGGAGGCAGCAGUGGGGAAUAUUGCACAAUGGGCGGAAGCCUGAUGCAGCAACGCCGCGUGCGGGAUGACGGCCUUCGGGUUGUAAACCGCUUUCGGCAGGGACGAAGCGAAAGUGACGGUAAUGGGUAAAGAAGCACCGGCUAACUACGUG
Molecule: ribosomal RNA, 468 nt
Filed under: uncultured bacterium
Lineage: Bacteria
Description: partial 16S ribosomal RNA
Rfam family: Bacterial small subunit ribosomal RNA
Source: RNAcentral